UACGUAGGGGGCUAGCGUUGUCCGGAAUCACUGGGCUUAAAGCGUGUGUAGGCGGGUCGUUAAGUGCCUUGUGAAAUCCCAUGGCUCAACCAUGGAACUGCUGGGCAUACUGGCGAUCUUGUGCCACCUAGGGGCGAGCGGAACAGAUGGUGGAGCGGUGAAAUGCGUAGAUAUCAUCUGGAACGCCAAUGGUGAAAACAGCUCGCUGGGAAUGAUCUGACACUGAGACGCGAAAGCCAGGGGAGCGAACGGG
Molecule: ribosomal RNA, 253 nt
Filed under: uncultured bacterium
Lineage: Bacteria
Description: partial 16S ribosomal RNA
Rfam family: Bacterial small subunit ribosomal RNA
Source: RNAcentral